GACGGAGGGUGCAAGCGUUGUUCGGAUUGACUGGGCGUAAAGGGCGUGUAGGCGGUUGGUCAAGUCUGAUGUGAAAGCCCGGGGCUCAGCCCCGGAAGGGCAUCGGAAACUAGCCAGCUGGAGCGCGAUAGAGGAGGGUGGAAGUUCCUGGUGUAGCGGUGAAAUGCGUAGAUAUCAGGAGGAACACCGGCGGCGAAGGCGGCCCUCUGGAUCGUUGCUGACGCUGAGACGCGAAAGCGUGGGGAGCAAACAGG
RNAcentral lists this ribosomal RNA (254 nucleotides) under uncultured bacterium. Its description in RNAcentral is "partial 16S ribosomal RNA". It matches the Rfam family "Bacterial small subunit ribosomal RNA", at positions 524 to 776 of the family's 1533-position model. The record is from RNAcentral.